CCUACGGGAGGCAGCAGUGAGGAAUAUUGGUCAAUGGACGAGAGUCUGAACCAGCCAAGUAGCGUGAAGGAUGACUGCCCUAUGGGUUGUAAACUUCUUUUAUAUGGGAAUAAAAUGUUCCACGUGUGGGAUUUUGUAUGUACCAUAUGAAUAAGGAUCGGCUAACUCCGUGCCAGCAGCCGCGGUAAUACGGAGGAUCCGAGCGUUAUCCGGAUUUAUUGGGUUUAAAGGGAGCGUAGGUGGAUUGUUAAGUCAGUUGUGAAAGUUUGCGGCUCAACCGUAAAAUUGCAGUUGAAACUGGCAGUCUUGAGUACAGUAGAGGUGGGCUGAAUUCGUGGUGUAGCGGUGAAAUGCUUAGAUAUCACGAAGAACUCCGAUUGCGAAGGCAGUUCACUGGACUGCAACUGACACUGAGGCUCGAAAGUGUGGGUAUCAAACAGGAUUAGAUACCCUAGUC
This 457-nucleotide ribosomal RNA is filed under the name uncultured bacterium. Its description in RNAcentral is "partial 16S ribosomal RNA". It matches the Rfam family "Bacterial small subunit ribosomal RNA", at positions 338 to 792 of the family's 1533-position model. The record is from RNAcentral.